GACGAACGCUGGCGGCGUGCCUAAUACAUGCAAGUCGAGCGAAGUUUUUCUGGUGCUUGCACUAGAAAAACUUAGCGGCGAACGGGUGAGUAACACGUAAAGAACCUGCCUCAUAGACUGGGACAACUAUUGGAAACGAUAGCUAAUACCGGAUAACAGUAUUUCUCGCAUGAGAGAUAUUUAAAAGUUGGUUAUGCUACCACUAUGAGAUGGCUUUGCGGUGCAUUAGCUAGUUGGUGGGGUAAAGGCCCACCAAGGCGACGAUGCAUAGCCGACCUGAGAGGGUGAUCGGCCACACUGGGACUGAGACACGGCCCAGACUCCUACGGGAGGCAGCAGUAGGGAAUCUUCCGCAAUGGGCGAAAGCCUGACGGAGCAACGCCGCGUGAGUGAAGAAGGAUUUCGGUUCGUAAAGCUCUGUUGUUAGGGAAGAAUGGAUAUGUAGUAACUAUACAUGUAAGAGACGGUACCUAACCAGAAAGCCACGGCUAACUACGUG
Molecule: ribosomal RNA, 499 nt
Filed under: uncultured bacterium
Lineage: Bacteria
Description: partial 16S ribosomal RNA
Rfam family: Bacterial small subunit ribosomal RNA
Source: RNAcentral